This 65-nucleotide transfer RNA is filed under the name Anolis oporinus. Its description in RNAcentral is "tRNA-Ala". Lineage: Eukaryota; Metazoa; Chordata; Lepidosauria; Squamata; Anolidae. The record is from RNAcentral.
UAAGACUUGUGAAUUCUACUACACAUCUCCUGAAUGCAACUCAAACACUUUCAUUAAGCUAAAGC